Molecule: transfer RNA, 96 nt
Filed under: Burkholderia vietnamiensis
Lineage: Bacteria; Pseudomonadati; Pseudomonadota; Betaproteobacteria; Burkholderiales; Burkholderiaceae
Also listed under: 1 other name
Description: tRNA-Sec
Rfam family: Selenocysteine transfer RNA
Source: RNAcentral
GGAAGGCAUUCGUAUCCGGUGGUACGGCCGGCCUUCAAAUCCGGUUGGGGGUGUCAGACGCUCCCGGGUAGGUUCGACUCCUGCUGCCUUCCGCCA